CUUGAACUAGAUUAGGGCUAGUUUUAGGAUUAGUGUUAGUGUUAGGGCUAGUGUUAGGGUGAGAUUUAGGCUAAGGGUUAAGGUUGGACUUAGAGUUAUGGUUAGUUCUAGGGUUAGGGCUAGGGCUAGUGUUGGAGCUAAGGUUAGGGCAAGUGUUAUGGUUAUAAUAAGGAAUAGGGUUAGAUCUAGGAAUAGGGCUAGGGUGAGAAUUAGAAUUAGUCUUAAUGCUAGUGGUAGGGUUAGGGCUAAAUUUGGGCUAGGAUCAGGUCUAGGAUUAGUGUAAGUGUUAAAUCUGGAGUUAGGGUUAGAUUUGGGGGAAAGGAUGGGGUUAUAGCAAGGUUGAGAACUAGGGUGAGGGAUGGAAUUAGGGAUAGGGCUAUAGUUAGGGUUUGGGGUAGGAUCAAGGCUAGUUAUAGGGCUAGGAUGAUGGCUAGUGUUUGUGUUAGGGUUAUGGCAAGAAUUAGGGCUAGGGCUAAUAUCAGGUCUAGGGUUAAGGUUAGGAAUAGUUUGGGGUAAGAUUUCUGGCUAGGUUUAGUGUCAGAGUAAGGUUUAGGGUGAGGUUCAAGUUGAGAGCUAGGGGAAUUAUAAUAGUCAGAGUCAGGUUUUGGGUUUGGGUGAGGUUGAGGUUUAGGGUUAUGGCUCAAAUUAGCAUCAGGUUUGAGUUAGAGUUAGGAUAAUGGAUAAGGUUAGGUUUAGGCUUCAGGUUAGAUUUAGGGCUCAG
RNAcentral lists this long non-coding RNA (721 nucleotides) under Marmota monax (woodchuck). Lineage: Eukaryota; Metazoa; Chordata; Mammalia; Rodentia; Sciuridae. The record is from RNAcentral.